This 420-nucleotide long non-coding RNA is filed under the name Homo sapiens (human). RNAcentral's name for it is "HSALNT0172897". Lineage: Eukaryota; Metazoa; Chordata; Mammalia; Primates; Hominidae. The record is from RNAcentral.
GUAGGCUCCCUCUCCCCUAUCUUGUCUUUGUCUCCUUCCCUCUUUCCUCCUCCUCUGCUUUUCUCUUUUUUCCCUUUCUUCCCUUCCUCACCCCAUUCCCUAUCCCUCUCCACAUUUCUGUGUCUUCCAGUCUGUUUCCCCCUUUUUCUCGUCUCCUUGCUCCCUCUCUUUCUCUGAGUCUGCCUGCUUUCUCCUCUUUCCCAUCUACCUCCUCUUAUGCUCACCAGGAUUCCUCUCUAGGCUGCCCACCAGGUCCCCUGGAGCAUUCACAAGACUGCUGGAUUGACCACCUGAUCCCCGUGCGCCCAGGCAAGGUGAGGCGCGGCCAUCGUCCUGCCUAGGUCCCUGGCCAAAACACGCAGCACUGCAGCCAGUUGCUUGGGCUCAGAGGACCACUGUGGGCACAAGUGGCCCCUUUGG